AAUCUGGCUCAGGACGAACGCUGGCGGCGUGCUUAACACAUGCAAGUCGAACGAGAAUCUGUGGAAAGAGGAUUCGUCCAAUUGAAGCAGAGGACAGUGGCGGACGGGUGAGUAACGCGUGAGGAACCUGCCUUUCAGAGGGGGACAACAGUUGGAAACGACUGCUAAUACCGCAUAACACAUUGAGGUCGCAUGGCCUUAAUGUCAAAGAUUUAUCGCUGAAAGAUGGCCUCGCG
RNAcentral lists this ribosomal RNA (236 nucleotides) under uncultured bacterium. Its description in RNAcentral is "partial 16S ribosomal RNA". It matches the Rfam family "Bacterial small subunit ribosomal RNA", at positions 16 to 235 of the family's 1533-position model. The record is from RNAcentral.